GAGCCAUUCCUGAAGAAUUUUGUU
RNAcentral lists this non-coding RNA (24 nucleotides) under Arabidopsis thaliana (thale cress). Lineage: Eukaryota; Viridiplantae; Streptophyta; Magnoliopsida; Brassicales; Brassicaceae. The record is from RNAcentral.